GUUUGAUUAUACUGGAUCGCCGAUCAGCUAACUGUGUGCUCAAAGGGCCGACAAGUUGCUUUAGAAGUCCACGAAAACAAGGAAAAUCAGUUGCACCUCCAAUAACAAGAGCUUCAAUUCUCUGCAUAGCAGAAAUACGGAUAGACCAGUCCUUCUCUGGCACAAGGGUAGAGGCAAUCUUCUCAAAUUCCCUAACCAACUCCUUUUCUGAGUACACUUUAAUUGGCUCGACAGGUUUCUCCGUAAUAUCAGCAUCCCCUCCAAAAAGAGACACCUCUCUUGUUGAGUUUUUAGCCUUUGGGCUGCUUUUCUUGGGAUUAAGACCAGUGGAUCUCACCUCUGUAGCUGCAUAGUUUCUCGAUACUCCAUCUGCUAAGGGAUUUUUGGGCUCAAUCUUCUCUAGUCUGGCAUUAAUAUCUUUUAGCAUCAUGGUAGGAAGAUGAUGGCGCUGAAGUUCAUCACGGAACUGAGGUCCAGCCUGUGAAUACAUCUCCUCAAUACAUGAUAUGGCUGCAUCUCUAACACCGGGAUUAGGAUCACUCAACAUUUGCAAAAUCGGAGGAAGAAUAGUUCGUUGAAGGGGCAGCUCAGUUGAUGCAAAAAGACCAAUUGCUGAUGUAACAGUACGAGCAAAUUCUUCUCGAACUCUGAAACUUCUGUGCAUCCAAGCAUAAGACCCUGCCCUCUCAACGAUAAUAGUUGGUGAAGAAACCUGCAUCAAAGUAAGCAGCAAUCGCCUGGCAGCAUCUCUAACCGGCUGUUUAGCAUCGCCCAAUCUUUCUACAACGGCAGGUACAAGAGCAUUGAAAUGAAGCUUAAAAUGUUCACCAGAUAGAACAGCAGCGGAAUCAAGUGAUUGUAAAGCACCCUGACAGACCCUGAAGUUGUUGUCUUUAAGAAGAUCUAUGCAUACAUCAACAAGCGAAGUAACCUCAGAAGAAGAGAGACUCUUUCUAGAAGCUUCGAGAAGUUCGUGAAGUCUCUCCACACCGGCCAUUCUCUCCUUCGUAUCCUUGGCUCGCGCCAAUUCCAGUGCCUCCUCCAUCGCGGGGGGUUAGUAGGGUUCCGAUCUGGUGCUAUGAAGGUCAGAUCUGCGGUGGAUUUGGGAGGAAAAAGUGACAGAGGAGAGUGAACUGUGAAGAAAGAGAAAGGAGAGGGAUUUUAGAAUUAGUACA
This 1175-nucleotide unclassified non-coding RNA is filed under the name Hevea brasiliensis (rubber tree). Lineage: Eukaryota; Viridiplantae; Streptophyta; Magnoliopsida; Malpighiales; Euphorbiaceae. The record is from RNAcentral.